Molecule: long non-coding RNA, 5150 nt
Filed under: Homo sapiens (human)
Lineage: Eukaryota; Metazoa; Chordata; Mammalia; Primates; Hominidae
Description: HSALNT0244031
Source: RNAcentral
GCCACCCUCGUAUGUACCCACCACGGCCCAGUCUGCCACCUUCCUCCAGGCAGAGCCUCCCACAGCUGCUGGAGCCUCCCCUAGGAGCUCCACUGGGGAGAAGCAGAGGUCCUCUCCUACCCCUUAGCCCUGGGGUCUGGAAUUCAACCCUCCCCCACUCUGUUCCCAGUUGCCCUCUGUUUGACAAGAGGAGCUUGGAAACCACCUCGAUCCAGUCCUCAAACUCCCCUUCCCCUGUGCCGCUCUGAAUUCCAGGCUAUCCCCACGAUAUAGCCAAAGCACCCUGGCUUGCUUUGAAAGUGUCUGGGGAGUUUUUGAUCCCCUGAAAAAAAAAGGCAUUUAUUAUCAGAGACUGUUUGUACCAUAUUUUAGUGUCCUCAAGAGACAAAGAGAAUUCUCUCUGCAGUUGAGUAAGCUUCAAAAUAGAAAAUCGGAGGGUGGGGUAGGUGACGGCCAAAAAGCAAUCAUUUAUCAACCAGCGGGGAAGCAGGGACCGUAAACCUCUUUGGUGGCUGCAGGUUUCAUCACAGCCUGACUUAUGCACCUGACUCUGGAGAGGAGGUGAGAAUGGGGUGUGCAGAAGUCAGUGGGUCCCGCAGUCUUCCCUCCUUCAGCGUUGGUGGCCACAGUCUGUCUGUGGUCACUUGCCCCCACAGCCCCCUGCUCUGCCUUCCAUUUAUCGAGACCUUUCCCUUGCAUUUGCGGAGGGGGAAGAAGCAGAGGUUAGGUUGCUGACAUUCUGCACACCCCACAACUCCCCAGAGAAAUCCUGGGGCUGAUCAGUAGAAUCCAGCCACCUUUCACUGGCAGAAGGCACAGUGUUUUUCUCCCUGGAGGUUUUUAACCUGUUACUUCAUGUAAGCCUCCUAUUGUCAAAUAGAGAGAAACUGAGGGGCUUUGGAAGCAAACAGACUUGGGAAAUUCUUGGCAAAUUCUUAACUCUAUCUCUUUGUGGGUGACCUGGGAUAUGUUCCCGGUGUCCUCAGCCUCUGAGUGCUCUUGGAAGAUUAAAUGGGAUAAACCAUGUGGAGUGACCAGUGCGAGGCCCAGCAUGUUCUAGAAGCUCAAAGGAAUGGCUACCACAAGUCAAGCCUAUUCUAGAUACCGAGGAAGUUGUCCACAGAGGGAAAAAAUUAUACCAAGAAGCAAGAGAGCCUGUUUUCUGACCCCCUCUCAGUCACUUGGUAAUUAUUAUUCCUCAAUCUUCACAUCUGAGGAUAUAACUAUUUUACCUGACUGAAGACAGAAGGGGUAUACCAGAUGGUUUCACCAAGAUCCAUCAAAUUCUAGUCAAAGAUUCUUCCAUUUUAAUUAAGCCCAUUGCUUCCUGUUUGAUCUUCUAAGGGCAGAGAAUAACAAUGUAAGCUCUGACCAUUUAAAAAAAUCAUCAUUCCUGCUCUAAUCAUCUCAAACCAUUCAUUCACUGGUCAUCCCGGGAAGGUCAACAGCAAUCUCCGAAGAGUCUGGUACCACGUCCUCCUCACAAGUCACUGCUAUAAGACUGACACUUAUCAAAAUGUCUGCCCAUCUCCACAGAGACGCUCCUAAUGUGCCUUGUUUCUGCUUUAUGACAAUGACCUUGGUUACAGCCAGUUGGUCCAGGAAUAGGCACCUGACCCAGUCUGGGCCAAUCUGGCCCCCUCUCUUGGGAAUGGUGACCAAAAGAGUCUGUCUCAGCAGAAACUGGAAAUGUAACAUAAACAGUCAUAAGCCAGGGGCCUGCUGGCAGUGCCAUGGGGGCUAAAGAACAGAAAAGGCUAGUCUACAAAGAAAGAAGAGAAUGAAAUUGAUGUCCAAGAAAACUGGAUUCAAGACACCAGAGAGAAAAUGAGCCAACCCAUUCACACUUCCAGGCCCUUUCUGAGGCAUGACAAUGUGGCAGAAUGUAUUUUCCAAUAUUUUCCAUCCCAUACGCUCUUCCAGAACCUUGCCACUGCAUCAAAAGAUGGUGUCUAUAUCCCUUCCGCCUGAAACGGUGAGCCUUUGUGACUGCUCACACUUCUAGGAUGUGGCAGAAGUGACGCUGUGUGAUUGCUGAGGCUAGAUCAUAAAAGGCAACACAGCUUGCACACAGCUCUAUCUCUUUGGACACUCAUCCUUGGAAUGGCAGCCACCAUGCUCUGAGGAAGCACAGGUCACAUGGAGCGCCCCACUUGGAGACAAAUGGAGGCCCCCCAGCCCUCAGUGCUGGCUGAGCAACCAGCAGACAGCCAGCACCAACCUGCCACCAGGUGAGUGUGCCAUCUUGAAAGCAGAUCCUCCAGUCCCAGUGAAACCAGCCCAGGUAACACCACAUGAAGCAGAGGUGAGACUUCCCCACUGAGCUCCAUGUAAAUUGCAGAUUCAGGAGCAAUAUAUGAUUGUCACUUAAAACUGCUAAAUUUGAGGUUGGUUUGUGAAGCAGCAAUAAAUCACUAGAACAAUGAUGUCUCUGUCUUCAAUUUACAAAAGACAGCCCUAUAUCCUUAGAGCAAAGCCCCCAUUCUGGCUUAAGCUAGUUCACUUGGGUUUAUUUGACCUACAACUAAAGAAUGAAAGCUAUUGAAGGCUUCUUUUCCCACUUUAAAUAGGAGUGAGAGGAGGAAAAGGAAAUUAAGGCUCUCUUUCUAAUCUGCAGCCCACCACAUGCGUUCAGGUACUCAGGGUUGAAGAAAUGUUGGAAAUGAGUUCCAGGGAAAUCAAUACAUUGCAACAGCCUUGGCAUAUAUGGCAAUGAGACUCGACCCAGUAUCCUCUCCAAGGCUGAAGAAAUGGCAGAGCAAAAAGCCAUUGCUAUACCACUCUCCUGACCUGGCCAUGGAGUAAGGACUAAAAUGAAGGCCAAUAUUAAUAUGCCGCCUUGAUAUCUGGUGAGACUGGGAAGAUGUUGCAUGGCCUAACCACAAGUUCCUCUCCCCACUCCUAUGGGAAAGAUCCCCCAGCCAGACAACCCUCCUUGGCAAAGGGACCAGGUGCAGUUCCUGCUUAUCCUUGAGUAGUGGGUUUCAUUUCUCUGCCAACUAUGGACUUAUUCAAACAAACCAAUCACAUCCCCUCAUGGAAACAAGGGGACACCUCACCCUCUUGAUACUACAAAACCUGACGCCCACAGCCCUGUUUGUUACUUCUGUACCUGCCUCAGCAUAACCCCUGCACUCAGCUGCUGUUGGGAUCAUCUGCCCAGGGUCAGGUGCUAUGUAUUUGGCCAUUGCAGUAACCUUAGUGUGGGAGUCCCCUUCUCACCCAUUGGUUGAAUAGGAGGCAAUUAAACCACUGGCCUUUCAAAAAGGUUCUGGUGCUUCCCAUCCAGCAGCCUUGGUGGUAUUGAGCAUCAGGAUUCAUUGGCUCUGCAGUCCAUUCAUUCAACAACAGUUAUUGCGUAGGUUUUGGUGCCAGGCACUGUCCUCCAGGGCCAUAUGCCCAGUUGCUGAGACCUUGUCCUUGACCUGUUGUGGACAUUAGUCAGCAACAUUUACUGACAACACACACCCACCCAAUUCCCAAUCAUUGGGAAGCAAUUGGCCUAACAAAACAGUCCUCCGCUGUGGGAUGUGUAUGGCAUGGGGCUGCAGUAAGGUCCUUGGUGCCAUAUUUAAGCUUCUACAUGUUCUAAUCCUGGUUCUUUCUUCCCCUCUAGAAGGCUGGAAACUUUUCAAAGAAGAAGAGGGUGAGUUUCUCUGACCAUAUUAGCCAUGAGCAGCCACAGUGAAAGAAUUAAUGAAUUAGUUGCCUUUGCUUAUCUUUGCCCUGGACUUCAGACCUCCUUCAGGAGCAAUGGAGGGAUCCAAAAGCCAACACUGGAAGAUGUGGAUGGUGCUUCCAGCUCAAGGACGUGGCCUCCAGCAAGUCCCUGAACAUCUUUAAGCCCUCACCUGUCAAACAGGGUUGGUGAUUACUUUUUUUUUUUUUUUUUGAGAUGGAGUCUCACUCUGCCUCCUAGGCUGGAGUGUGGUGGUGUGAUCCAGGCUCACUGCAACCUCCACCUCCCAGGUUCAAGCAAUUCUCCUGCUUCAGCACCACCCCCACCACCCCCACCCACCCCACCAAGCAGCUGGGAUUACAGGCAUGUGCUACCACGCCUGGCUAACUUUUAUAUUUUUUUAAGUAGAAACGGGUUUUUGCCAUGUUGGCCAGGCUGGUCUUGAACUCCUGACCUCAAGCAAUCCACCCACCUUGGCCUCCCAAAGUGCUGGGAUUAUAGGCAUGAGCCACCACGCCUAGCCAAUGAUCACAUUUUCCUACCUAACUCCCUGGGCUGCUGGGAUAGCAGAUGAGAAUGGGUGAGAGGUUCUUUGGAAAGUGAAGGUGGUGCUGUCCAGCAGCUAUGUCAGACUGCUAUGGUCUGAGUGUUUGUGUCCCACUACCCUGAGACAGAUAUGUUGAAAUCCCAAGCCGCAAUGUGAUGGUAUUCACCUUUGGGAAGUGAUUAGGUCAUGAGGGCUCUGCUUCAUGGGGUUAGUGCCCUUAUGAAAGAGGCCCAAGCGGGCCGGGCGCGGUGGCUCAUGCCUAUAAUUGCAGCACUUUGGGAGGCCAAGGCGGGCGGAUCACCUGAGGUCAGAAGUUUGAGACCAGCCUAACCGACAUGGAGAAACAACGUCUCUACUAAAAAUACAAAAUUAGCCGGGCGUGGUGGCGCAUGCCUGUAAUCCUAGCUACUCGGGAGGCUGAGGCAGGAGAAUCACUUGAACCCAGGUGGCACAGGUUGCGGCGAGCCGAGAUUCCACCAUUGCACUCCAGCCAGGGCAACAAGAGUGAAACUCUGUCUCAAAAAGAAAGAAAAAGAAAAAGAAAGAGGCCCAAGAGAGCUCAUUCACUCCUUUCAUCACAUGAGGACACAGCAAAAUGAUGGCUGUCUAUGAACCAGGAAGCAGGUCCUCACCAGACACCGGAUCUGCUGAUGUCUUGACAUUGGGCUUCCCAGCCUCCAGCACUGUGAGAAAUAAAUGUCUGAUGUUUAGAAGCCACCCAGUUUAUGGUAUUUUGUUAUAGUGGCCCGAAUGGUCUAAGACAGGCACCCAGUAGAAGGCAGCCCCUGUGUGUGGGUAGGUUCCACACAAAGGCAAGCCUAGCCCCAAGGUCGCCACCAACAAACCCCAGAGCCAUUUUUCCAUGGGGUCUGAAAACUGCACCAUUAGAUGCUGCUUAGUUUAGGACUUUAUAUUGGGUUGAAU